RNAcentral lists this unclassified non-coding RNA (665 nucleotides) under Hevea brasiliensis (rubber tree). Lineage: Eukaryota; Viridiplantae; Streptophyta; Magnoliopsida; Malpighiales; Euphorbiaceae. The record is from RNAcentral.
UUGAACAAGCAUUAAUUUUAAGCCAUGAUAGAAUGUUCUUCUUGAAUAUUUUUAUUAACUACAUUAGUGACCACAUUAAAUAAUAGAUCAAAAUGGGUAGAAGGAAAUAAUUAAUUACUGCAAAUAUUCUUCAAGAUAAUUAAGAAUAUAUAAAUAUAACAAUUCAGCAUACCUCCUGUUGCAGAAGUUCCAGUAACCACUGUCACUUUAUCAGAGAUAUGAACUUGCAGUUGGAGACAGUAUGCCAAAAAACAAAUUUCAUAUACAGACACAGAAAUUCUGUGUGAAAUAAACUCCAAUUUAUUCAUAUUAAAGUACAAAUUUUUAAAAAUUUGAAAAAAAAUGAAAAACCCAUGCAAAAGAUCCCCAACAAAUAAAUCAAUCCCCCCAACCCAUCACUAAAAAAAUAUUUAACAAGGAAAAAAAAAAUCAACCAAAAGAAAUUAAAGACCUAAAAGAUCAAGAAGAGAAGAUGACCCUGAUGUUAAGAAGAUGCUGAUGAUGAGUAUUAGAGGAAGAAAAAUUGACUAGUGAGCCAUGGCAACUGGAGCUUGAUAGUUGAUGCUUCUCUGGUGAGGCAUGGCAAGCAUAGUAGUGUGAUCCAAGAAAUCAUUUAGAGAAAUCACAGACUGUAAUAUUGUUCUUAAAUCAUCUGCACAAGAAAA